CGAUUUCCGAAUGGGGAAACCCAGUGUGAUUCGUCACACUAUCAUUAACUGAAUCCAUAGGUUAAUGAGGCGAACCGGGGGAACUGAAACAUCUAAGUACCCCGAGGAAAAGAAAUCAACCGAGAUUCCCCCAGUAGCGGCGAGCGAACGGGGAGCAGCCCAGAGCCUGAAUCAGUGUGUGUGUUAGUGGAAGCGUCUGGAAAGGCGUGCGAUACAGGGUGACAGCCCCGUACACAAAAAUGCACAUACUGUGAGCUCGAUGAGUAGGGCGGGACACGUGGUAUCCUGUCUGAAUAUGGGGGGACCAUCCUCCAAGGCUAAAUACUCCUGACUGACCGAUAGUGAACCAGUACCGUGAGGGAAAGGCGAAAAGAACCCCGGCGAGGGGAGUGAAAAAGAACCUGAAACCGUGUACGUACAAGCAGUGGGAGCACGCUUAGGCGUGUGACUGCGUACCUUUUGUAUAAUGGGUCAGCGACUUAUAUUCUGUAGCAAGGUUAACCGAAUAGGGGAGCCGAAGGGAAACCGAGUCUUAACUGGGCGUUAAGUUGCAGGGUAUAGACCCGAAACCCGGUGAUCUAGCCAUGGGCAGGUUGAAGGUUGGGUAACACUAACUGGAGGACCGAACCGACUAAUGUUGAAAAAUUAGCGGAUGACUUGUGGCUGGGGGUGAAAGGCCAAUCAAACCGGGAGAUAGCUGGUUCUCCCCGAAAGCUAUUUAGGUAGCGCCUCGUGAAUUCAUCUCCGGGGGUAGAGCACUGUUUCGGCAAGGGGGUCAUCCCGACUUACCAACCCGAUGCAAACUGCGAAUACCGGAGAAUGUUAUCACGGGAGACACACGGCGGGUGCUAACGUCCGUCGUGAAGAGGGAAACAACCCAGACCGCCAGCUAAGGUCCCAAAGUCAUGGUUAAGUGGGAAACGAUGUGGGAAGGCCCAGACAGCCAGGAUGUUGGCUUAGAAGCAGCCAUCAUUUAAAGAAAGCGUAAUAGCUCACUGGUCGAGUCGGCCUGCGCGGAAGAUGUAACGGGGCUAAACCAUGCACCGAAGCUGCGGCAGCGACGCUUAUGCGUUGUUGGGUAGGGGAGCGUUCUGUAAGCCUGUGAAGGUGUGCUGUGAGGUAUGCUGGAGGUAUCAGAAGUGCGAAUGCUGACAUAAGUAACGAUAAAGCGGGUGAAAAGCCCGCUCGCCGGAAGACCAAGGGUUCCUGUCCAACGUUAAUCGGGGCAGGGUGAGUCGACCCCUAAGGCGAGGCCGAAAGGCGUAGUCGAUGGGAAACAGGUUAAUAUUCCUGUACUUGGUGUUACUGCGAAGGGGGGACGGAGAAGGCUAUGUUGGCCGGGCGACGGUUGUCCCGGUUUAAGCGUGUAGGCUGGUUUUCCAGGCAAAUCCGGAAAAUCAAGGCCGAGGCGUGAUGACGAGGCACUACGGUGCUGAAGCAACAAAUGCCCUGCUUCCAGGAAAAGCCUCUAAGCAUCAGGUAACAUCAAAUCGUACCCCAAACCGACACAGGUGGUCAGGUAGAGAAUACCAAGGCGCUUGAGAGAACUCGGGUGAAGGAACUAGGCAAAAUGGUGCCGUAACUUCGGGAGAAGGCACGCUGAUACGUAGGUGAAGCGACUUGCUCGUGGAGCUGAAAUCAGUCGAAGAUACCAGCUGGCUGCAACUGUUUAUUAAAAACACAGCACUGUGCAAACACGAAAGUGGACGUAUACGGUGUGACGCCUGCCCGGUGCCGGAAGGUUAAUUGAUGGGGUUAGCGCAAGCGAAGCUCUUGAUCGAAGCCCCGGUAAACGGCGGCCGUAACUAUAACGGUCCUAAGGUAGCGAAAUUCCUUGUCGGGUAAGUUCCGACCUGCACGAAUGGCGUAAUGAUGGCCAGGCUGUCUCCACCCGAGACUCAGUGAAAUUGAACUCGCUGUGAAGAUGCAGUGUACCCGCGGCAAGACGGAAAGACCCCGUGAACCUUUACUAUAGCUUGACACUGAACAUUGAGCCUUGAUGUGUAGGAUAGGUGGGAGGCUUUGAAGUGUGGACGCCAGUCUGCAUGGAGCCGACCUUGAAAUACCACCCUUUAAUGUUUGAUGUUCUAACGUGGACCCGUGAUCCGGGUUGCGGACAGUGUCUGGUGGGUAGUUUGACUGGGGCGGUCUCCUCCUAAAGAGUAACGGAGGAGCACGAAGGUUGGCUAAUCCUGGUCGGACAUCAGGAGGUUAGUGCAAUGGCAUAAGCCAGCUUGACUGCGAGCGUGACGGCGCGAGCAGGUGCGAAAGCAGGUCAUAGUGAUCCGGUGGUUCUGAAUGGAAGGGCCAUCGCUCAACGGAUAAAAGGUACUCCGGGGAUAACAGGCUGAUACCGCCCAAGAGUUCAUAUCGACGGCGGUGUUUGGCACCUCGAUGUCGGCUCAUCACAUCCUGGGGCUGAAGUAGGUCCCAAGGGUAUGGCUGUUCGCCAUUUAAAGUGGUACGCGAGCUGGGUUUAGAACGUCGUGAGACAGUUCGGUCCCUAUCUGCCGUGGGCGCUGGAGAACUGAGGGGGGCUGCUCCUAGUACGAGAGGACCGGAGUGGACGCAUCACUGGUGUUCGGGUUGUCAUGCCAAUGGCACUGCCCGGUAGCUAAAUGCGGAAGAGAUAAGUGCUGAAAGCAUCUAAGCACGAAACUUGCCCCGAGAUGAGUUCUCCCUGACCCUUUAAGGGUCCUGAAGGAACGUUGAAGACGACGACGUUGAUAGGCCGGGUGUGUAAGCGCAGCGAUGCGUUGAGCUAACCGGUACUAAUGAACCGUGAGGCUUAACCUUACAACGCCGAAG
This 2808-nucleotide ribosomal RNA is filed under the name Shigella flexneri. RNAcentral describes it as "partial 23S ribosomal RNA". It matches the Rfam family "Bacterial large subunit ribosomal RNA". Lineage: Bacteria; Pseudomonadati; Pseudomonadota; Gammaproteobacteria; Enterobacterales; Enterobacteriaceae. The record is from RNAcentral.